GGGGUUAUAUUUAAUUAUAAUACUUGAAUUGCAAUCAAGAGGUAUCCAGAUGAGAUUAACCUUU
This 64-nucleotide transfer RNA is filed under the name Nesophrosyne sp. 23 GMB-2012. RNAcentral's name for it is "tRNA-Ala". Lineage: Eukaryota; Metazoa; Arthropoda; Insecta; Hemiptera; Cicadellidae. The record is from RNAcentral.